GUGGGGAAUAUUGCACAAUGGGCGAAAGCCUGAUGCAGCGACGCCGCGUGAGGGAUGACGGCCUUCGGGUUGUAAACCUCUUUCAGCAGGGACGAAGCGCAAGUGACGGUACCUGCAGAAGAAGCACCGGCUAACUACGUGCCAGCAGCCGCGGUAAUACGUAGGGUGCAAGCGUUGUCCGGAAUUACUGGGCGUAAAGAGUUCGUAGGCGGUUUGUCGCGUCGUUUGUGAAAACCAGCAGCUCAACUGCUGGCUUGCAGGCGAUACGGGCAGACUUGAGUACUGCAGGGGAGACUGGAAUUCCUGGUGUAGCGGUGAAAUGCGCAGAUAUCAGGAGGAACACCGGUGGCGAAGGCGGGUCUCUGGGCAGUAACUGACGCUGAGGAACGAAAGCGUGGGUAGCGAACAGGAUUAGAUACCCUUGUAGUCC
Molecule: ribosomal RNA, 430 nt
Filed under: uncultured bacterium
Lineage: Bacteria
Description: partial 16S ribosomal RNA
Rfam family: Bacterial small subunit ribosomal RNA
Source: RNAcentral